GCGCUCGUAGCUCAGCUGGAUAGAGCACUGGUUUCCGGUACCAGGAGUCGGGGGUUCAAGUCCUCCCGGGCGCGCUA
RNAcentral lists this transfer RNA (77 nucleotides) under Lentibacillus sp. CBA3610. RNAcentral describes it as "tRNA-Arg". It matches the Rfam family "tRNA". Rfam says of the family: Transfer RNA (tRNA) molecules are approximately 80 nucleotides in length. Lineage: Bacteria; Bacillati; Bacillota; Bacilli; Caryophanales; Bacillaceae. The record is from RNAcentral.